UCCUGAGGCUUGAGCUCGAACCUCCUCCAAAUGUUUGUCAUCUUUUAAUCUUCUGUUUUCUUUGAUCCCACUUCAUGAGAAACGUUUGUCAGCUUUCAUCUUCUGUUUUCUAUAAACUGUGCAGAGAUAAAGAUAAAAGCGCCGCAGCAUGUUGGGGAUCAGUAGAGCUUUGGAACCCUUCUUAAGAUGUUGACAAUACAAGAUCAUUAGUAUACUGGGUCAG
This 223-nucleotide long non-coding RNA is filed under the name Phoenix dactylifera (date palm). RNAcentral describes it as "long non-coding RNA (PDAC_LNC007045)". Lineage: Eukaryota; Viridiplantae; Streptophyta; Magnoliopsida; Arecales; Arecaceae. The record is from RNAcentral.